UACGUAGGGGGCAAGCGUUGUCCGGAUUUACUGGGCGUAAAGGGCGCGUAGGCGGCCAUGCGUGUCUUCCGUGAAAUCCCUCGGCUUAACUGAGGACGUGCGGAAGAAACUGCAAGGCUCGAGUCCGGGAGAGGGGGGUGGAAUUCCCAGUGUAGCGGUGAAAUGCGUAGAUAUUGGGAGGAACACCGGUGGCGAAGGCGGCCCCCUGGACCGGUACUGACGCUGAGGCGCGAAAGCGUGGGUAGCAAACGGG
Molecule: ribosomal RNA, 253 nt
Filed under: uncultured bacterium
Lineage: Bacteria
Description: partial 16S ribosomal RNA
Rfam family: Bacterial small subunit ribosomal RNA
Source: RNAcentral